AGUGAACGCUGGCGGCGUGCUUAACACAUGCAAGUCGAACGGAUCAAAGUAGCUUGCUAUUUUGGUUAGUGGCGCACGGGUGAGUAAUGUAUAGCUAGCCUGCCCUUUAGUGGGGGACAACAGUUGGAAACGACUGCUAAUACCCCAUACUCCUUCUUGCCAUAAGGUGAGUUGGGAAAGAUUUAUUGCUAAAGGAUGGGGCUUUAUUGUAUCAGCUAGUUGGUGAGGUAAUGGCUCACCAAGGCUAUGACGCAUACCUGGUCUGAGAGGAUGAUCAGGCACACUGGAACUGAGACACGGUCCAGACUCCUACGGGAGGCAGCAGUGGGGAAUAUUGCACAAUGGAGGAAACUCUGAUGCAGCAACGCCGCGUGGAGGAUGACGCAUUUCGGUGUGUAAACUCCUUUUAUAAGGGAAGAUAAUGACGGUACCUUAUGAAUAAGCACCGGCUAACUCCGUGCCAGCAGCCGCCGUAA
RNAcentral lists this ribosomal RNA (476 nucleotides) under uncultured bacterium. Its description in RNAcentral is "partial 16S ribosomal RNA". It matches the Rfam family "Bacterial small subunit ribosomal RNA", at positions 29 to 523 of the family's 1533-position model. The record is from RNAcentral.